Molecule: long non-coding RNA, 683 nt
Filed under: Suricata suricatta (meerkat)
Lineage: Eukaryota; Metazoa; Chordata; Mammalia; Carnivora; Herpestidae
Description: lncRNA (ENSSSUG00005008130.1)
Source: RNAcentral
ACACCCCAAGUCUGGAAUUGAGGCUCGAGUCUGAGUUUUGCCUUUUCCACUUUUUAGCUAUAGAACUUUGAACAGAUCACAAAUUUUCUGAGACAGUUUCCUUCUUUGUAAACUGCGGAUAAUAACAUGCAGAAACACUAGGUAACUGAUGUUCUAUAAAGCGUUAAGUGACGUUACCACAUGUAGAGUCUGGAACACAGAAGACAAGUCCAAAGAGCCUGACGAAGGAAUCCACGACUUUUCCAUUGAAAUUAUAAGAAUGAUCUUUCAAGUGGAAAUUGUACCGGGAACUAAGGUUCUGGCCAAAAGUUUUGAGAUGGACUCACAGGAAAAGCUUACGGAGAUGUUCUGGCAGGGCGGAAACCCACACGGAGCGGACUCUUCUUCCAGCCAAGAAUCCUACAGGGGCACUGAGUCAGGUGUAAAUUCCUUGUGCUGCCUGCUUUCCCCAUGGCAUGGACAUUUACUGUACGGGGCAGCAUAGCAGCCUUUCUCCUCCUUUGGGGAACAGCACUGUGAGUUCCUUCUCACUGCUGACCUCUCAGUAAUGUCAGAGUAUCCUGCUGCCCCCCGCCCCCCCGGCCAAGAGGUGGAUGCAUGACUCAACUUAGGUAAGUGUGACUCUAACACUUGAGCAGAAGUGACAAGAGUGAAGUCCAGUGUUUAGCAGCAGAGCCCUGAGA